This 160-nucleotide unclassified non-coding RNA is filed under the name uncultured Chaetomiaceae. RNAcentral describes it as "sequence contains ITS1". The record is from RNAcentral. Lineage: Eukaryota; Fungi; Ascomycota; Sordariomycetes; Sordariales.
CAGAGUUUAACCACUCAAAACCAUUGUGAACCUUACCUCAACCGUUGCUUCGGCGGGCGGGCCCCAAAAGGCCCCCCCGGCCCCUCGCGGGCGCCCGCCGGAGGUAAACCGAACCCUUGAAUUGUAUGGCCUCUCUGAGUCUUCUGUACUGAAUAAGUCA